CUCAGUUCCAAUUGCUUUCUCAAGAAUUGGUUCAUCUUCGUCGAUCAUGUGGUAUGUCUUGGUUAAGACGGAAUUUUUAAAGAAGGGAUUAGUCUCAAAAUAGAACUCAAGCUUGAAUCCUUUGGGAUUGUCUAUUCUACACCACUUGAUAUCUUUCAAGUAUUUGAGAGCUCCUUCAUCACGCUCGGUAAUCUCCUCAGCUAAUACUUCGUUGUUCUUCAUUGCAGUCAGCCAAAAAUCGGGAACACCUUUCUCUGCUGCGUCUUUGUCUUCUGAUUCUUUUGGAACUCCUUCUGCUUCAACAACACCAUUUACAAUAUCGAAUCGCUGAGAGUAUAGUGGCUGAUACAACUUCUGAUAUUUAGCCUCGAGCGCCAACCUUUCCUCAAAAAAUUUUGCCUCUAACUCAUCAUGUUGGCUCUGGAUCUCUCUUAGCACCUCGACGCGCUUACGAACAACCGGCGACAAAUUCUCGAGGACAUCGGAAUGCUGCCCAGCGAGACUCUGUAUCUUAUUCUUAAGAGCGUUGACGAGGCCUGCUCGAUCCUCCUCAUUGAGAGCAGAACCGAGAUCCGAGACAUUGAAGUUGUCCUUGUUGUUGCUCAUUGAGAAUAUUGGGAAUUACUGAUGGGGAAGAGGAAGAGAAGUUGAAACCUAAAACCCUAGAUUGAAUACGAGCGAGGAAAAAGGAGUGAAAAGGGCCGCCUCAGCGUGGCCGACCUUUAAA
Molecule: unclassified non-coding RNA, 727 nt
Filed under: Hevea brasiliensis (rubber tree)
Lineage: Eukaryota; Viridiplantae; Streptophyta; Magnoliopsida; Malpighiales; Euphorbiaceae
Source: RNAcentral